Sarcophilus harrisii (Tasmanian devil) is the source of this 3679-nucleotide long non-coding RNA. RefSeq lists it as uncharacterized. The record is from RefSeq and is a predicted model, not a curated record. Lineage: Eukaryota; Metazoa; Chordata; Mammalia; Dasyuromorphia; Dasyuridae. The transcript is spliced from 3 exons.
GCAUAACAUAUUCCUUCAUUGAUAAACUGUUUUAAAAGUCUUAUUCUUUAAUAAUUGUUCUAUCACCUUUCUCUCAGGAGCGCAUAUUUCAUCAUUGGAAUUCUUGAGAAGAACAAAUGUCAUGGAAUAAAACAGAGAUGGGGCCCAGAUAAGCAUAGAGUAGGUCCAGGCUGGAAGUGAUACAAUUCUGAAGUUAUAAGAAGGCAAAAUCUCUUUCCAAAAGCAAGAUAACAACAAUCCUUCCAUUUGGACAUGACAUGAGUUUCAGGGAUGGAUGUGGAGAAAGAAGAGAAUGUGAAAAAAAUUUUUUAAAAAGUCCAAGGAGGAAAAGCAGUUUCAGUUAUGGAAUUCAGGAGAAGAGGAAACCAAGGCUCUUUGACAUGAGAUUGCUUCAUAGUCAUACAGUUAAAAGGCUAACAUACACAGAAUAUGAGUCCAGGCUGCUUAUUCCAGGUAUAUCUACAUUUCUACUUUUUAGAUUUUGAUAAGAAAAAAAAAGGAGGUGGGUUAUCAAAUUGACUGAUGAAUGUGAUCAGGAAAUUUAAACAUAUACCUUUGUAUAACUGAAAAGAUAACUCUAUAACAAAAUCUGAUACAUGAAUUUAGAAAAUUGGUUUUCAUACCCCAUAACUGAGGAAGGGUAGGAAGAAUCCUGAAAGGCAUAGGUUUUGUAAUUUGGAGAAGAACACAGGAGUGUCACUUUAGUGAAAGUAAUCUUUGUUAAGGUUUCUCCUCUGCCUUAGUUGGCUUUCAGUGCUGAGCCAUAGAUUAGAAUGUUCUUUUUAUUCAGCAUGGGUUCUGAUCAGGGAAAACUUUAUAGUUGUCAUGGUAACCCACUAUAAAUGUUGACUCCUGAGGAUGAUCAUUAAAACCACAAUCACAAAGUGGAAAUAUGAGCUUCUAUAAUCUAUCAACAGAAGGUCUGGGAUUUGUAAUAGAAAACUGUGAAUGAAUUUGCUACUUCUAAGUAUAGUAUUCAUAUUAUAUUUUUCCUCCAUAUAUCCUUAAUUUUAUUUAAAUGACCAUUGAAUUUCAUUGAAAGGUAAUACUCUCAUUCCAUUAUCUCUUGUGUAAACUGAACGAGGGGCAAUUGACUCACAUUUUUGAUUGGGUUCACAGCCUAUAUACUAAUACAUAAACUAGCUACUUAUUUGGGAUUUGUGACAUUUGUGGUCAUUUGUGGUUGCUUUGUGCUCUGAUAGAAUUCACCUUUUUAUAUGGAUUGCCUUGGAAAUCUAAUCAGACUGCUUGAGAGAGAAAUGAAAAGACAAUUCUAAUAAGUUUCUGCAGAGCUACUGUUCUGCUUUAGUCACUUCCAUUUUUCACACUUAAUUAUACAAUGUUUACUAAGGUGGUAGGUUUUUUGUUUUUGUUUUUUUUUUCACUGAGAUAUGGCCUCUCCUGCUGUGCAAUCUGGGCAAAUAUAGCUUUUAGCUGGAUAAUGUGAUCUACCUGUCUGGAUAUACUUGAAGAGUCUCAGGUGAGAGGAAAUGGAAUUCUAAAGAAAUAUAGGAUUUAAAACUGGAAGAAACCUUUAAGUACCUUAUUUAGUCUCUUCCCUCCCUCCCCUCUCCCCUGAUUUUAACAGGUAAGGAAAAUGACACUGAAAGAUGUAAACUGAUUUGUUCAAGUUCAUAUCAGGAUUUAGUAUCAGAGUCUGGAUUUGCAUACAGAUUUUUUGAUUCCAAAGAUUCAGUGAUUUUUUUCUUACUGAAAUUUUUUCACAUGCUAUUGUGGUGACCAAGUAACCAAAAAACAAGUAACUAUUGUGAAACAAGGAAACAGUAAAGUUUAAAAAAUACAAAACUGUAGAGUUCUCUGGAAAUUAGGAAAGGUCUAUAGCAAUUGUGGCUCCAAUAGGAGCCUAAGAGAGUCUGUUGAUUUGAAAGUUACUGACAAGAAAUUUUCAGUCAGUUUUCUUGUCAGAGGCACUUCUGCUUAGGAGAUUGGGAGAAGAGACAAUCUGAAUGCUCCUGCAACUCAAUGAUGGUCCCCUUCACUGUAGGGCUCCUCUUCAUGACUGCUGACCUGCGCUAAAAUCAAUUGAUUUAUUGAUUGAAAACAUUUAUUAAGUACCUUUUGCUUAUCAGACACUCAGAUAAGUGCUAACAGUGCAAAAAUAGAAACUCUAGGAACUUAAUGGAGGCUACACAUAGGCAUAUAUGACAUAAUACAUAUAAGCUAUUCUUAUGGAGGAAGGCUCCAGCUUUUGGGAGGAACAAAAAAUGUCUCUUACAGAAGGUAUUGUUUGACUUGAGUUUGAAGAAAGCCUCGGAGUUUAAGAGGCAGAAGGGAAGAAGUAGUACAUUCUGCAUCUGGGAGAUAGCUAGUAAAAAUAUUUAAAGAAAGGAGAAAUGUAAGGAACAGCAAAAAAUCCCAAACACCUUGACUUUAGAGAAUAGGAAAAUGGAAGAAGACUGGAAAGAUAGAAUGAAAUCAAGUUAUGAAGUACCUUGCAUGCCAAACAGCAGUGCUAAUAUUUAAUCCCAGGAAGCCACUGGAAUUUAUUAAUUAAGGUUAAGGUUGGCGAGUGUUACAUGGACAAACAUUUGUGUUUUUAAACACUCUCAUUGGCAAUUUUGUGGAAAUUUGACUACUGAUAGAAACUUGAACAAAGAAGUGAAUUAUGAUGAAUUUUGCAAUAGUCUGAACUACCAAAAUAAAUGACACACUAAAAUAAUGUAAUGACUGUGUGAAUGAAGAAGGGGAAAAGUAUAAGAAAAAUGCAAAACAUAUGGAAAUCCUUUGGCCACAGUUUUAAUACAUGGAGUUGUUGUGAGGAUCAAAUAAGAUAAGAUAAAGAACUUAACAUAGUGUUUGACACAUAGUAGAUGCUUAAUAAAUUCUUAUUCUACUACUUUCCCUUUUAAUAUAUCAAAGGCUUAAUGGAAAUAUUGGGGUGAAAAAGAAUGGGAAAAAGAAAACAGAUUACACGGUCCAUGAAAGCCUAGAAGUUAUAUUAAAAUACUGGAAUCAGUUUGAACCCUUCUAUUCCAUUUUCAUAGGCAUAUAUGCUGGGGAUUUUGUUUGUUUUACUUGAUGGGAUAAGUUGAGAUAUGUCCAUAGGAGCCAUGGCAAUCAACUCUAUACAAGCUCUAUUUCAGGGGUUCUAACAAGAUCCUAAUACCUUUCUCAAAGUCCUUCUCUAUCCACUGAUUGAUCAUAAAUUUUAUAAUGUAAAUGUUGCAUUACCAAAAAAGAUUUCUGGCAUUCUAAUUAUUUUUGAGAACUGGUUGUUAGACAUUUUAAUAUAUUUUUACUCUACUGACAAAUGCUAUCCAUACAAAUCUAUAACUCUUGACAGAUAGGUUUUAUUUUCUCAUGGGUUCAAAUCUAAAUUUGGAAAAACAAACUUUUAUUCUCUUUGGAAUAUACCAAAAAUUGCUUUACCUUAAAUAAAUAUAUGUGAAAUUAAUAUUACUGUAAGGUUUGAGAUACUUACCAUUCACUAUUUUAGACUAAACCAUUAGAGCUACUUUAAAAUCCAUUUUAGUUCAAGAAAUAAUUAUAUUUAUUGAGCAACUAAAUUCUUGACACUCUGGAAAUGCAAAAAAAAUAUUCCUAUGGAAAUAUAAUCUAGCUAAUUAAUGCAUGUAAAGAAAAACUAAAAAGACAGAGCUUAAGCAAAGAGGAAAAAUAUGAUAAAGGUCAUAGGAGAAUUCUGAAAGAAUUCAUGAAA